RNAcentral lists this ribosomal RNA (464 nucleotides) under uncultured bacterium. Its description in RNAcentral is "partial 16S ribosomal RNA". It matches the Rfam family "Bacterial small subunit ribosomal RNA", at positions 339 to 795 of the family's 1533-position model. The record is from RNAcentral.
CUACGGGCCGCUGCAGUGGGGAAUAUUGCACAAUGGGCGCAAGCCUGAUGCAGCCAUGCCGCGUGUAUGAAGAAGGCCUUCGGGUUGUAAAGUACUUUCAGCGGGGAGGAAGGGAGUAAAGUUAAUACCUUUGCUCAUUGACGUUACCCGCAGAAGAAGCACCGGCUAACUCCGUGCCAGCAGCCGCGGUAAUACGGAGGGUGCAAGCGUUAAUCGGAAUUACUGGGCGUAAAGCGCACGCAGGCGGUUUGUUAAGUCGGAUGUGAAAUCCCCGGGCUCAACCUGGGAACUGCAUCUGAUACUGGCAAGCUUGAGUCUCGGAGAGGGGGGUAGAAUUCCAGGUGUAGCGGUGAAAUGCGUAGAGAUCUGGAGGAAUACCGGUGGCGAAGGCGGCCCCCUGGACGAAGACUGACGCUCAGGUGCGAAAGCGUGGGGAGCAAACAGGAUUAGAUACCCCUGUAGUC